RNAcentral lists this ribosomal RNA (499 nucleotides) under uncultured Lachnospiraceae bacterium. RNAcentral describes it as "partial 16S ribosomal RNA". The record is from RNAcentral. Lineage: Bacteria; Bacillati; Bacillota; Clostridia; Lachnospirales; Lachnospiraceae.
CACGUAGUUAGCCGGGGCUUCUUACUCAGGUACCGUCAACUUCUUCCCUGCUGAUAGAGCUUUACAUACCGAAAUACUUCUUCACUCACGCGGCGUCGCUGCAUCAGGGUUUCCCCCAUUGUGCAAUAUUCCCCACUGCUGCCUCCCGUAGGAGUUUGGGCCGUGUCUCAGUCCCAAUGUGGCCGGUCGCCCUCUCAGGUCGGCUACUGAUCGUCGUCUUGGUGGGCCGCUACCCCGCCAACUAACUAAUCAGACGCGGGUCCAUCUCAUACCACCGGAGUUUUUCACACCGGACCAUGCGGUCCUGUGCGCUUAUGCGGUAUUAGCAGUCAUUUCUAACUGUUAUCCCCCUGUAUGAGGCAGGUUACCCACGCGUUACUCACCCGUCCGCCGCUCAGUCAAUCUUAAUUCCAUCCGUAAACUUCCUUAACAUUGCUUCGCUCGACUUGCAUGUGUUAGGCACGCCGCCAGCGUUCAUCCUGAGCCAGGAUCAAACUCU